AUGAAAAUUGCAAGCACUCAAAACAUUUGUCAAAGUUUGCACCCAAAAAAAUAUGUUUGCGAAAUGCACCAGAAGAGACCAGACCCAGGCAGUCCGGCUCCUCUGUUGCCCUCUCCUCAUUUUCUGUGGCCCUUCUAUAUCAGUGCAACCCAAUGUUUUCAUAACCCUGAGUUGAUCCAUAAUUAUGCAAAGGGAAGUGUUUAUAAAUGGCGCGCUGGCCGAACCUUUCCGCCGGACCCUUCGGCACGCACCGCUGCUCAUGGGUCCACGCGGCCACUCGUCCUGCCCACACGCGCCAAGUGGCUGGGGAUCCAGGCAACCGUCAUCUUCCCACGACCUUCUCCUCUUCUGCAGCACCACGACCCCUUCUUCUUCCCUGCUUCCGCACCAUUGACGGCGAGGUCUCGAACAUGGCGCACUCCCCUGCAACUCCGACGCUACUAUUUUGUGACGCCCGGAUAA
RNAcentral lists this ribosomal RNA (462 nucleotides) under Triticum aestivum (bread wheat). RNAcentral's name for it is "partial small subunit ribosomal RNA". Lineage: Eukaryota; Viridiplantae; Streptophyta; Magnoliopsida; Poales; Poaceae. The record is from RNAcentral.